RNAcentral lists this unclassified non-coding RNA (379 nucleotides) under soil metagenome. RNAcentral's name for it is "partial contains 5.8S ribosomal RNA, internal transcribed spacer 2, and large subunit ribosomal RNA". The stretch from base 3 to 120 matches the Rfam family "5.8S ribosomal RNA", at positions 37 to 154 of the family's 154-position model. The record is from RNAcentral.
GCUGAAGAACGUAGUGAAAUGCGAUAAGUAAUGUGAAUUGCAGAAUUCAGUGAAUCAUCGAAUCUUUGAACGCACCUUGCACCCUUUGGCAUUCCGAAGGGUAUGCUCGUUUGAGUGUCAUUGUACUCUCACACUUCCAAUCUUUGGAUUGGGAGCAGUGGACUUGGGUGUUGCUGCUUACUGUGGCUCACCUCAAAUCGAUUCGUGCACCUCUUGGUUGGACAUAGUACGGCGUGAUAAGUGUCUUCGCCGGCACCUCAGUAGAGGGUGGCUGAUCAGGAGCUCUGUGCUUCAAACCGUCCUCGGACAAAAACUGACAACUUGACCUCAAAUCGAGUAGGACUACCCGCUGAACUUAAGCAUAUCAAUAAGCGGAGGA